UCCGCUCCGACAUGGCAAAAGUGUCCAGCCCUACAGAAACCGAGCGUUGCAUCGAGUCCCUGAUUGCAGUUUUCCAGAAGUAUGCUGGGAAGGACGGGAACCACUGCAGCCUCUCCAAGACUGAGUUCCUAAGCUUCAUGAAUACAGAACUGGCUGCCUUCAUAAAGAGUCAGAAGGACCCCAGCGUCCUUGACCGCAUGAUGAAGAAACUGGACCUCAACAGUGAUGGGCAGCUAGAUUUCCCAGAAUUCCUUAAUCUCAUCGGCGGCUUGGCAGAAGCUUGCCAUGAGUCCUUUACCCAUUCCCGGAAGUUAAUCUGAGGAGCCCUGGGAGCUGGCCUCCAGGCCACCCCUGAGCUGGCACGCCCACCACCCCAUGCAGGCCUCUCCUGCUGGGAGCAAUAAAACAUUAUCGUUUUUUGAAACACACA
RNA transcript from Hipposideros armiger (great roundleaf bat), 430 nucleotides. It is a transcript of the gene named protein S100-A11 pseudogene, with no coding region annotated. The record is from RefSeq and is a predicted model, not a curated record. The transcript has a single exon. NCBI's taxonomy places the organism in Eukaryota, Metazoa, Chordata, Mammalia, Chiroptera, Hipposideridae.